This is a long non-coding RNA of Lagopus muta (rock ptarmigan), 4584 nucleotides long. RefSeq lists it as uncharacterized. The transcript is spliced from 4 exons. The record is from RefSeq and is a predicted model, not a curated record. Lineage: Eukaryota; Metazoa; Chordata; Aves; Galliformes; Phasianidae.
GGGCAGAAAAAAAAAAAAAAAAAAGGAUGAAGUUAAAUAGCAUAAAGUUCAAGGUCACAUAGUCUCAGACCAGCAAGAAUUUCUGCCAAGAAUUAGCAACCUGUGUCUUGGAAACAGCUGAAGAGAAGGAAGAGACUUGAGGCUACUCUCCCAUCGCAGCCUAAUCCAAAGAAGUGCUGGGAAAGUGUGGUAUUGCAGAAGCUGUUAUAGAGAGAUUUUAAGGAAAUGUCCUACCAUUUCUAACAAUGCUGACAAUUCUUCAAUGCUUGUGUGGUUUGUACCACCGUUUUUUCACUGCAUUACAAAUGUGUAUAAAACUCUUGAGUUAUGGCCUGAACCACACAUUGGUCACCUGAGGAAAGGACUGAGUCAGCUGUGGGAGCACAGGUGAAGGUAAUUACCUCCUAGACUUCAUUUAAGGGGCUGACUGCCACUAGGAAGCAUUUCUUUCUGAAGAUCCCUCUUCUGUGGAGUCUUUCCUGCAAACUUAGAUCUUAAGAUACAGUUUCCAUGGAAAUAAUUAGGAGUUUACUUUCAGAGCAACUUAUGGAUACGUUCUUCACUCAGUGCAGCUGAGGCAAGCCAAAGGGUUGGACACCCAUGAGCCAGAACAACUCUUCCCUUUCUCUGAUGACCUUUUGAUGAGACAAACACUCUUCCUGUGCCAGGGAAGCACAGAGGUGAUUGACUUGUCAAGUCAGUGAGGGCUUCUUUACUGGGAUAUUAAUUCAUGCUUUCUGAAGCUCACUGUAGCGUCUGCUUCAUCAAGCACAUCUUUCUAGUAAAAAAUAGUUCUUUAUUCCUAACCUAUGGACUAUAAAUCUCCUAAGCUACGUCUCUGGGUACCUGUAAAAUUGCUGAGUAAAUAAGGAGCAGAGUCAUCAUCAGAAUAGCAACAAUAACAUUUUUUGACUACUGAACUCAGCUACACGCUGUGGAUGUGGGUUUACCAAAGAGACUGACUAUUGCUAGCUUCCUUUCUGAUGUGCAGACUUCACAUCUCAAUUGCACUGCCUGUAACUGCUAUAUUAAUAUACUGUAUAUUUUAAUACAUAUUGUGUGAUAUCUUAGGCAAUAACAUAUCGAUGUGAAGUUCUAUAAAACAUGCUGUAAUAUUCUUUUUGAAAAACAAGAUAAAAUGACACUAAAAUAAAACUGAAGGAUUUAUACUUGUUUCAACAAUGGUUGUGCCUUUGAGAAGCCAAUAGUUAUUAUGUUGAAAAAGGUAAAUCUAUAAAUAAGAUUUAAAGAACACAGACGCAUAAAGCACAGAGGAAAGAGAGUGGUUUCCUGGAGUCUAAAUGUACCUGCCACUUGCUUACUUCUGAUCUCAGUUAACGUGAGUAAAUUAGGUUGCUGCUUUUCAUCAUCUGUUCUCAGAUUGGUGUCAAGGACUACUUUAGUGUCUCAGAACAUGUUUUAUGUUAGGAAUAUAUGACCAGUGUGGAAGUGAAAGAGGACCCUGUUGGCACCACAGGCAUGUGUGGAGGGAGAGGGCAAGAGUUUUUAGAAUGAACUGAAUAGACCAGCUGGAAAGUAACUGGUCAGUUGAACAGAUGAUAUUGAGAAGAGGCCAUCACAGGAGAUGAGGAAGUAAUUUUGUUAAAGUGUAUACUCUUAUCCUAUGAAGGUUUGUUUAUAUAUUUACUCUCAUGAUGAUGAGUAACUUUCAUGACUUCAUUGGGAUUAUUGUUUAAGAUUAUCACAUGCUUUUCAUCUUUUCCUUUGCUGAAGACAGAUUUACAUAGAAACUGUCGUCAGAACGUUUUUCAUCUUACAGUCAGGUGCUGCCUUGGUUAUGAAAUUGAUAACAUUGCCUAUCACAGAAUCAUAGAAUUGCUCAGAGCCUUAAAGAUCAUAGAGUCCAACCACGACCUAACCAUACUACCCUAACUCUAAGAACCCUCUGCUAAAUCAUGUCUCUAUCAGUAUACACUGGAUACUGAAUCUUCUUAAUGAGAACCAAGACAGCAGUUGGGCCUGCAUUCCUUGGCUGUAGAUGGAGGAGAGCAUGCAGAAACCAAGAAACAGCAUGAGAUGAAAGUAAGAAUAGCAGGAUGCUGGAAAAGGAGCAGUGGGAAGUUGCUCAGAAAGGCUCCUGGAGGCAAAAAGUGCUGCAAAUGGAGAAAUGUAGAAAGGCAGAUGCAUGCCUUACAUUCAAAUAACAGCCUUUUUAAUGGCUGAAAAAACAGCUCUAGUCUAAUAUUGAAAUCAUGCUACACUUUUCUGUAUCAAAACAUGAGACAUCUAAUUGCAUGGCAUAGUAACACAGAAACCUUUGUUACCAAAAAAAACUACCCUAAACAGACCCGCUGCAUGAAUUUGUAAAGCUUUAUUUGUUUCUUUUUAAUAAUAUAAUUAUCUAUAGAUACUGAGUGUCUAAUCUCCAUUUACCUAAGUUCUGUGUACAACCCAUACAACUCCAUGUACCCUAAUCCACCCAUAAUGACUGAAUUAUUGUUGGUGUUGAACAUAGCAAACUGCAGCAGGGAAGCAGUAACACCUGAGAUUACGACUCGUUUUCUUCUCUGGUACUUGCAGCUUAAUUCCAGGUGAGGGGUAAAUGCCUUCCUCCACCAGUCUUCACAAACUUAGGCUGCUUUCCUGGUGACUGUAACCUUUUCUUCAGAGGACUGAUCCCAGCUUUCUCUAUUCUUUUAACGUUCAGGUAGGGAUGGGUGUUUUCUUUAGAUCAGAGCAUUCACCGAGGCAGUGAGACACCCAUGUGUCCUGCAGUCUGAAAUGGUUCAAGCAUGUUAAUUAGUUGGGUAUGUGCAAGAAGCCUCCUGAAGCUAUUUCAAAGCUGCUGAAGAUGCUGCUCUGAAGGAGCCAAGGUGCAGUUACUGGAGGUGGUAUAGAUGUAUUGCCCUUCAGCAUGGGGGCUCAGGACUCCUGCAUUCUGGCUGAGUGCUUUAGCUGGCAAGAGGAUGAAGAGGGCUUAAAGCUGAGGUGGAGUGUAGCUGUAAUGCAGUGGAGUGUUAAGUGGAAUGUAAGCAUUCAUUGCCCCAGGACAAGCACCUAUAGGCGUAUUUAGGAAAAUAAAAUCCUCAAGAAAUUUCAGACAAAGCCGGGAUAUUCCUGGUAGAUCUUGGUCUUGUGCUGAUUUCGAUCCCCUAAAUUAGCUAUAUUUCUGGAAUGGAUCUUCCUAACACUAAGCUCAGAUGGUCAGAAAAAAAUGACAAAAAUGAAUUUAAAUAAAAAACUAAACUGAAAAUAUUUUUAAUUCAUUCCUUCUUUCUUUCCUUUUUAUGGCCUCUUAUGAAUUCGAGCUGUUUCUCAGAAUUUCUCUCUGGAGGUCUCUUCUAUCUCUCUCCUUGGGUUUCUCAGAUUUAGAGAGAAAUAUAAAGACUAUUUUUACUUCUACACAGGGAUUAAUAGAAUCCUGCCUGUCUAGCUGCAGGGUAAAUCAGCACAAUUUCCCUGUAUGCCAAAUGCCAGGAGUUUGUCAUAGAUAUGCUUAAGCCCUACCAUUAAAUGUGGUUUGUAGUACGUGUUGUGUACUAUUAGUGGUUAGCUAGGGAAGAAUGAUACAAAUGAUGACCAAAAGACUAGUUAAGACCCACUUCCAAAUGUCCUGUGACCGUAUCCCCAAAUUGGCAGCAGAUCUGCUUUGCUGAUCAUAAAUGUUAUACUAUUUGGAUGGACUUUUUAAACCCUGCCAUUUUUGGGCAUUUAAAAAUAAAAGGAUAAACAAAACCACAUCUGGUCUACAAAUGUGCGUGUCAUGUUUGAGCUUGAUGCAGUUUCGAAUUAGUUGUUAAACACUGAAAAGCAGGGUUCAUAAGGGAAAUGCCUACUCAGCUGAUUGUAGUGCAACUGGUGCAACUGUAAUAGAAGCCAGACACUCCUUGAAAUAGCAGACAACUGUGUAUGGCUAUAGAGGAAUAGAGGGAAAGAAAAGCCAGAUGGUGUACUUAGCUGCACUUAAAAUCUGAUUGUGUGUGUCAAUAACGAAUGCCCAAAUAAGAUUCUUUCAUUUAAAGAAAGAAAAAAAGAAUAUAUGUGCAUACUAGUAGAACAAAUGCAACCCUACAGAAAAAAAACAUGUGGAUUCCAUCGCUGUGAUGGUGGUUAUUGUAAUGACCAGUUAACCUGCAUUUGCUGCAGUUGUCUAAAUUCUUAAACAUUAAAUAUUUUACAACACAAUAACAAAAUAACUAAAUCAUAGGGGUAAUCCUGACAAACAGAAAAUAUUUAUGGCCCAUUUUCUUAGAAAUACAAAUGGUUGCUUUUGCUUAGGUUGCUGGAAAAAGUUGCUUACUGGAUGCCACAGUCUUAAAAAACUUUCCCUUAUUUGGAUGUUAGAAUGAAUUUCUGGCAGGGUCAUCUGAGUCCUUCAUUAUUUCUAGGUAGAUUAAAUGGUUUAUUAAGGGUGAAACUUGGGCCUUGUGCUAAUCAAUGGAAACUUUACAAUCAGCCACAGCAUCACACCUAUAAAUAAACAUUUCAUGCAAGACUUUAAAAUAAAGAAUUUCUGCUGUGUAUGGAAAUUAAUGUUUCCCACAGUUACUCAGUCUUACAGAAAGAAUUUACUUGGCUGAAGUAUGUAUAAACAAUUAAAGAAUAAAUAUCUCUAUAAUUCCU